RNAcentral lists this non-coding RNA (30 nucleotides) under Bombyx mori (domestic silkworm). Lineage: Eukaryota; Metazoa; Arthropoda; Insecta; Lepidoptera; Bombycidae. The record is from RNAcentral. RNAcentral also lists the same sequence under 14 other names.
CGGCUAGCUCAGUCGGUAGAGCAUGAGACU